GUCCUCAUGGCCCUUAUAGGUGGGGCUACACACGUCAUACAAUGGCGUGUACAAGGGCUGCGAACUUGCGAAAGUCAGCAAAUCCCAGAAAGCCGGUCCUAGUCCGGAUUGGAGUCUGCAACUCGACUCCAUGAAGUCGGAAUCGCUAGUAAUCGCGAAUCAGAAUGUCGCGGUGAAUACGUUCCCGGGCCUU
This 193-nucleotide ribosomal RNA is filed under the name uncultured Methylococcaceae bacterium. RNAcentral's name for it is "partial 16S ribosomal RNA". It matches the Rfam family "Bacterial small subunit ribosomal RNA", at positions 1189 to 1382 of the family's 1533-position model. Lineage: Bacteria; Pseudomonadati; Pseudomonadota; Gammaproteobacteria; Methylococcales; Methylococcaceae. The record is from RNAcentral.